GACGAACGCUGGCGGCGCGCUUAACACAUGCAAGUCGAACGGAAAGGCCUGCUUUCCCUUGUGGAUUGCGGGUACUCGAGUGGCGAACGGGUGAGUAACACGUGAGUGAUCUGCCCCCAACUUGGGUAUAAGCCUGGGAAACUGGGUCUAAUUCCCGAUAGGACUGCAGGGUGGUGCCUGUGGUGGAAAACGAUUUUCUAGUGGUUGGGGAUGAGCUCGCGGCCUAUCAGCUUGUUGGUGGGGUAAUGGCCUACCAAGGCGGCGACGGGUAGCCGGCCUGGGAGGGUGGACGGCCACAUUGGGACUGGGAUACGGCCCAGACUCCUACGGGAGGCAGCAGUGGGGAAUAGUGGACAAUGGGCGGAAGCCUGAUGCAGCGACGCCGCGUGGGGGAUGACGGCCUUCGGGUUGUAAACUCCUUUCGACCGCGAGGAAGCCACCUGGUUGGAAGGGUGGUGACGGUAGUGGUAGAAGAAGCACCGGCUAACUACGUG
RNAcentral lists this ribosomal RNA (494 nucleotides) under uncultured bacterium. RNAcentral describes it as "partial 16S ribosomal RNA". It matches the Rfam family "Bacterial small subunit ribosomal RNA", at positions 28 to 507 of the family's 1533-position model. The record is from RNAcentral.